This 558-nucleotide ribosomal RNA is filed under the name Salmonella enterica subsp. enterica serovar Typhimurium. RNAcentral's name for it is "partial 23S ribosomal RNA". It matches the Rfam family "Bacterial large subunit ribosomal RNA", at positions 714 to 1269 of the family's 2925-position model. RNAcentral also lists the same sequence under 2 other names. Lineage: Bacteria; Pseudomonadati; Pseudomonadota; Gammaproteobacteria; Enterobacterales; Enterobacteriaceae. The record is from RNAcentral.
CCCGAAACCCGGUGAUCUAGCCAUGGGCAGGUUGAAGGUUGGGUAACACUAACUGGAGGACCGAACCGACUAAUGUUGAAAAAUUAGCGGAUGACCUGUGGCUGGGGGUGAAAGGCCAAUCAAACCGGGAGAUAGCUGGUUCUCCCCGAAAGCUAUUUAGGUAGCGCCUCGUGAAUUCAUCUCCGGGGGUAGAGCACUGUUUCGGCUAGGGGGCCAUCCCGGCUUACCAACCCGAUGCAAACUGCGAAUACCGGAGAAUGUUAUCACGGGAGACACACGGCGGGUGCUAACGUCCGUCGUGAAGAGGGAAACAACCCAGACCGCCAGCUAAGGUCCCAAAGUCAUGGUUAAGUGGGAAACGAUGUGGGAAGGCCCAGACAGCCAGGAUGUUGGCUUAGAAGCAGCCAUCAUUUAAAGAAAGCGUAAUAGCUCACUGGUCGAGUCGGCCUGCGCGGAAGAUGUAACGGGGCUAAACCAUGCACCGAAGCUGCGGCAGCGACACUGUGUGUUGUUGGGUAGGGGAGCGUUCUGUAAGCCUGUGAAGGUGUGUCGUGAGGC